GACGAACGCUGGCGGCGUGCUUAACACAUGCAAGUCGAGCGAACAGACGAGGAUUUUGCUGGUCUGUCGUGUGCCGCACGGGUGUGUAACACACGUGUAACAUGCACCUAUAAGACGGGUAACAUUUGGAAAAACCGGCGCAAACCGCGGAUGAUAUCUUGAACCGCGUGGUUCAGUGGUGAAAGACGGUUUUGCUGUCACUAAUAGAUGAAUCCCGGCGGCUUUGGCUGGUUGGUAGGUUAACGGCUUACCAAGGCGACGAUGCCUAGCCGACCUGGGGGGGGGACGGCCCACUCGGGAACUGAGACACGGUCCAGCCUCCUAGGGGAGGCAGCAGUGGGGAAUCUUCGGCAAUGGGGGAAAGCCUGACGGAGCAACGCCGGGUGGGUGAUGAAGGUCUUCGGAUCGUAAAACUCUGUUAUUGGGGAAAAACAAAUGUGUAAGUAACUAUGCACGUCUGGCCGUUACCUAUCAGAAAGCCACGGCUAACUACGUG
RNAcentral lists this ribosomal RNA (496 nucleotides) under uncultured bacterium. Its description in RNAcentral is "partial 16S ribosomal RNA". It matches the Rfam family "Bacterial small subunit ribosomal RNA", at positions 28 to 507 of the family's 1533-position model. The record is from RNAcentral.